Molecule: long non-coding RNA, 905 nt
Filed under: Zea mays
Lineage: Eukaryota; Viridiplantae; Streptophyta; Magnoliopsida; Poales; Poaceae
Description: long non-coding RNA (ZMAY_LNC000729)
Source: RNAcentral
GUAGUCGUAGCUCAAGCAUCAGCGGCAGGAGCUCUGGGCAGCGUGCGCACGUGGGGUACCUAGCUCGCUCUGCUAGCCUACCAUGGCUGAUCACCACCGGGGUGCGACGGGAGGUGGCGGGGGCUACGGCGACCUCCAGCGCGGGGGCGGCAUGCACGGCGAGGCGCAGCAGCAGCAGAAGCAGGGCGCCAUGAUGACGGCGCUCAAGGCCGCGACGGCCGCGACCUUCGGCGGGUCGAUGCUGGUGCUGUCCGGGCUGAUCCUGGCCGGCACCGUGAUCGCGCUCACGGUGGCCACCCCCGUGCUGGUGAUCUUCAGCCCGGUGCUGGUGCCGGCCGCCAUCGCGCUGGCGCUCAUGGCGGCCGGGUUCGUCACCUCCGGCGGCCUCGGCGUCGCUGCGCUGUCCGUGUUCUCCUGGAUGUACAAGUACCUGACGGGCAAGCACCCGCCGGGCGCCGACCAGCUGGACCACGCCAAGGCGAGGCUGGCGUCCAAGGCCCGCGACAUCAAGGAUGCAGCACAGCACCGCAUCGACCAGGCGCAGGGGUCUUGAGAGAAGAACCACACUCGAGCGGACCGCGCGCGCGACCUCCUUGAACCACUGCCGGCGCGGCGGCAUAUGGCCCUUAAAGGCGGUGGCUGCUGCUACGUACGCUGCCGUAGAGUCUCGGUCGCCGCGAUAGCUCUAGCUAGUCGUUUAUGUGUUGUGCUUUGUGUGUGCAUGCUUGUGUCUGGGGGCAUGCAGUGCAGUGCAGUACUAUAUGCUGUAUGCGUCUCUCUUUGAUCGGAGAGGCGGAUGUACAGCAUGCUCGAUAUGUCUAGUUUGGAUGUCAUGUUUAUGAUGAGGAAUAAAAUGCAGUGUUCAGGUGAGAUGCUACGGUUUCCUGGAGUACAUGCGAUUUGGA